CUAUCUGUAAUAAUUGUCCAGUUCUAGUGUAAGAGUUAAAAUUUAGGUUUUAUGCUAAAUAUGAUAGUUAUAAAGUAAUAGUGUGGUUGCCGAAUUUAAAAUAUUAUAACUUAAGUCAAAAUGAAUUUUUGCAGCUUUAUUUACAAAGAGGUGGAAAGAAUGAAAAUGGAAAAAUGUAUCUAAAGAGACAGAUUUUAACAAGCCUACCAGCCCUUCUCCAGUGAAGUGAGACUCAGUCCUGCCCACAUCCCUUGUCCCCACGUGGAUUUCCUGGUAAUUCUCAGCCAGAAGUCUCGGUGGUGUCUUCAGCCAGAGUUCCACUCACCCAGCAAGCUGAUGCAGAUCCACGGAAAAGGUCUCCUCCAAGCCAAGGCUUUCUGGGGCAUCAUGAUUUAAGGAAGACUUCAAGUAAAAGAAGGAAUUUUAAUUGGAACUUAAAGGAAGCCACGGAGGUCAAUAGCUGGAGUAUGAGAAGACCAUUUCAGUCAUGGGUCAGGCAGAGAAAAUGCCCAGAGAGAUGCAGUGUCUUGUCUGUGGAACAGCCAGGUAGCCAGUGCCAUUGGAUCAAAGAGUAUAUCAGGAGGGCAAAGUAUAAGAAGACUGGAGAGAUUCCAGUGAAGAUAAAACCACUACAAAAAAUCAGUGCUAUAUUUUCUAAAUCAGAAGAUGCCUAUGAGAGGGAACAGCCUUGAAGUAGCCCUGGAUUUGGAGUCAGAGGACUUAAAACAAAAGACUGUGAUGUAGUAGUGUGGAAGAGGCAUGCAAGCAAAAGACAAGAAGCUGGAAAUUGAUCAGCUGUCAAUCAAAGGAAAUUUCCAUUUGGAAUGUGACUGGAAAAGCAGUUUGGAGCCAAGCCAAUGGUGACUUCCACAGUAGGCAGUGGGAAGGGUACUGAACUGGAGGUUAGGAUAUCUAGGUUCUAGUAUGAGUUCUACCACUGAGCGGCUGUGUGGCUUUGUUCAAGGUACUUCCCUUCUGGGACAUCAGUCUUGUGACCCUGAACAUUAGGGGCUUGGAUUACAUAAUUUCUUAGGUGCCUUCUAGGUGUGCCAUUUUGAGCCUCCAGGUUUAAUUAAAGAACCUUUUCAACUACUUCUGUUAAGCCUUUAUAACUUCUGGAUUGCUGUUGUUGUUGACAAUAAUUAGCUCUUAAAAAUUAUUUGUAGAAAAGUUAUUAUUUCUUCCUCAAAACUGGGAAGGAGUUAGGGAGAAAAUGUUUGGUGUUCCAGGGAAUGGGGUGGAGGGAAUACAUGAGUAGAUAGUAAACAAAAUAUCCAAUGUCCACAAAAGAGCAGGACAAUAAGCAAAUUCAUUAAUUAAACUUUGUGAAUUCCUCCAUUCAUAAGGCUGACUAUUUGCUUAAUUUAGACUAUCUGCCUUAAUCAUCGGUUUUACCACAUGAAAAUAUUUGAAGAGUCA
Molecule: long non-coding RNA, 1419 nt
Filed under: Monodelphis domestica (gray short-tailed opossum)
Lineage: Eukaryota; Metazoa; Chordata; Mammalia; Didelphimorphia; Didelphidae
Description: lncRNA (ENSMODG00000035339.2)
Source: RNAcentral